Cervus elaphus (red deer) is the source of this 710-nucleotide long non-coding RNA. RefSeq lists it as uncharacterized. The record is from RefSeq and is a predicted model, not a curated record. The transcript is spliced from 4 exons. NCBI's taxonomy places the organism in Eukaryota, Metazoa, Chordata, Mammalia, Artiodactyla, Cervidae.
ACCGGAAGUCGCCUAGGUGACCCGGAAACGGAAGUCUGGUGGCGCGGCCAUAACGGCUCCGAGCAGGGGGCAGGUGCCCGUGAGAGGUCGCUGAGGGAAGAGCAUGCGUAUAAAGGAGUGGAAAUGUACUGCCACGUGUUGUGGAGCAUUCUUUCUCAGGCUGGUAACAUUACAGAAUUCCUGUUGAAAUGCAAGCUGGACUGGUGGAUACCAGAUUUUCAAAUCUUCUCAUGAGCUGUUUGUCAAGAUAUGCAGAUGGCUUGUGUCUGGUGGAGGAACACCCCAUCCCCCUCUAUGAAAAAGCCAGUUCUGUGAAGUCCUGGGGUUUGAAUGACUUUGUGGUUGGAAGUGAAGAAACCGAAGCAGACGAUGAAGAGCCUGCCAGUUCAUUACUGUGGAGUGGCAAGAUAUUAAUCCAGUAGUUAAUUCAUCUUGCCACUGAAUCCUAGAGGCCUGAAACUAGAAACCUAGGCAUGACGCUUCCACUGCCAGAGGAUUUUAUCCCCCCACUGCGUUCACACACACCACCCCCCUCAAUUCAGGAAUUGCUUUCAGCCAACAUUACCUCUGCUUUCUGAGCACAAGCCAAGCUAUUGUGCUGGAAAUAAUCUGUGUUAGUCUUAUUGGAGUGGCUUGCGUUGCCAUAGUUACUGUUUAGGUUCUGUGCACCUAAAAUUUCAAGGAUUUAUCAGGAAAAAAGAGUUUGCUGA